Molecule: ribosomal RNA, 1509 nt
Filed under: Triticum aestivum (bread wheat)
Lineage: Eukaryota; Viridiplantae; Streptophyta; Magnoliopsida; Poales; Poaceae
Description: partial small subunit ribosomal RNA
Source: RNAcentral
AUGAGCUGCCGCCGCUUUGUUAAUAUGGUUGUUGACACCGUCAUUGGUGACCGCCAUGCCUACGCUCUUCACUGCAUCAAUAUGUCGGGCUUAUUUUACCCAACCAAGCCAACAACAACACAGCUAGGAGGAGCAGAUGCAAAAGAUGGUAAUACGGUUGAGUCCAGUGAGCUGCCUCGCCCUGCCAUGUCCUUCUACCCCUGCCGAAAUAACGGGGCUCCGGUCGGGAGUGUGGAAUUCAUGCCCGUCAGCAGAGACAAGAACGACAUCCUCACCAUCGACCAGGAUGGCCGAACCUUGAUGUACAGUGUUGCCUCACGUGCCUUCCACAUCCUACCGCCACUGCAGACACCCAUAUGGGAGCCUACCUCCGUGAUCGCUGGUGGCAAGCUCUAUGUGAUGAAAAGCUCCCCCUUCCCCACCACCUCCCACUGCUUUGAGGCUCUCAUCUAUGGCCACCACCCUGGAAUCGACUAUCUCCCAGAGUGCUGGUACUGGCGUUCUCUCCCACCGCCUCCCUUCAGGAACAGCAACCAUCGUCUCGAUGACAACCAAUUUAUUGGUGGAGGCUAUGCAGAUGAGGAUGGCGACCUAUCUAGAGUCACUGCCUACACGGUUGUGAAUGAUUUAGAUAUCUGGGUGUCACAGGGUGGAACGACCUACUCCUUUGACACGGUGAGCAGUGCAUGGACCAGUUUUGGAGAGUGGACGCUGCCAUUCCGAGGCCAUGCUGAGUACAUCCCGGAGAACAAGCUCUGGUUUGGCUUGUCAUCUGAUGGGGACUUGCUUUGCACCUCUGACCUCAGUAGCACGUCAAGGCCUCCUCAGCUGCACAAUCUGUGGAAGGAGCUAGCGCCACCUAAGGAAUGGUUCCUUCACAACUCCUACCUUGUGCACUUAGGCUCUGGCAAGUUUUGCAUCGCCAAGUUCUUUGAGACAGGUCGGAUAUCCAACACUCAGUACAAUGAGAGGUUCGCAGUGCUCACCGGCGUGGAGGUGAAGCGCUGUGGCAAGCAUGGAACAGAGCUCCGGAUGGUCAAGCACGGGUCCAGGCGCUAUAGCCUGAACAAACAAUCUUACUUCCGGGUAUCAACAAUAAAUCAGUCGAGCUGGAGAGGGAACAUUUCUCAGUUUCUGUGCUACUCUUCAGUUCGGUGUGCACAAUCUGAUCGCUUGUACCAUUUCCGCUUCGCCGGUGGCAAGGCGGACGCUACAGGCACGUUGUGGAGCCAAGGCCUGUGCGGCUGCACGUGCAUGCCGGUGAGUGGGAAUAUGGCCAUGUUCAAGCGAGGACACCGGGCUCAGCUGCUUGUGCCCGAGACGCUGGUCGAGAACAUGCUAUUCCUCGCUGUUGGCAUGCGCGUGGAACUCAAUAGGAUGGUGAAGGAGGGUAGGGAGCCAAGAGGAUACGCGAUGGAGCUGCGCAAUGCAUGUGCUGUUGGAGUUAACCACGUCAGAGAGUCCAUGCCCGGUGUCAGGGACUUAGGGUACGUUAGCUUUGUAGGCUAG